UACGUAGGGUGCAAGCGUUGUCCGGAAUUAUUGGGCGUAAAGAGCUCGUAGGCGGUCUGUCGCGUCGGAUGUGAAAAUCCAGGGCUCAACCCUGGACCUGCAUUCGAUACGGGCAGACUAGAGUUCGGCAGGGGAGACUGGAAUUCCUGGUGUAGCGGUGAAAUGCGCAGAUAUCAGGAGGAACACCGGUGGCGAAGGCGGGUCUCUGGGCCGAUACUGACGCUGAGGAGCGAAAGCAUGGGGAGCGAACAGG
RNAcentral lists this ribosomal RNA (253 nucleotides) under uncultured bacterium. RNAcentral's name for it is "partial 16S ribosomal RNA". It matches the Rfam family "Bacterial small subunit ribosomal RNA", at positions 524 to 776 of the family's 1533-position model. The record is from RNAcentral.